Apodemus sylvaticus (European woodmouse) is the source of this 1714-nucleotide long non-coding RNA. RefSeq lists it as uncharacterized. NCBI's taxonomy places the organism in Eukaryota, Metazoa, Chordata, Mammalia, Rodentia, Muridae. The transcript is spliced from 4 exons. The record is from RefSeq and is a predicted model, not a curated record.
CCUUGUUGGAGGAAGUGUGUCAUUGUGGGUGUGGGCUUUAAGACCUUUGUCCUAGCUGCCUGCAAGGCAAUCUUCUCCUAGUGGCCUUCAAGAGGAGAUAUAGGACUCUCAGCUCUGCCUGCACCACGCCUGCCUGGAUGCUGCCAUGUUCCUGCCUUGAUGAUAAUGGACUGAACCUCUGAACCUCCCCCUCUAAGGAUCCGAGGCUGACUUAUUCUACUGAUAACUCUAUGAAGAAAGCGCAAUUUAGAGGAUUCCAUCCCUGUCCCUGGUGACUUGGUUUCUCUGCAUAGUCCUGGGUGUCCUGGAACUCACUCUGUAGGCCAGGCUGGCCUUGGACUCAGAAAUCUGCCUGCCUCUGCCUCCUGAGUACUGGGAUUAAGCCUUUAAGUGGCAUGCACCACCACUGAAAGAAGCCUGUCCACCUGCAGAAACAACAUGCCCAGAGGGCACCCCUUGUGGCUACCCAGGGUCUCCACGGAGAGCCCUGCGUGCACCCUCUCCAGCUUGCCUGCCGUUCUCCUUGGCACCCUGAGUGCUCCCAACACUGACCUCCCGCUGCAGAAGUCCAUCCUGCUGCUCUCUCCUGAGGGCCCUUCUCUGCCAAACCUGGCCAGUUCUCAUCACUUUUCAGACUCAGCUCACAGUUUGUGUACUUAAAAAACCAGCCAGGUAAUGGUGCCGCAUGCCUUUAAUCCCAGCAUUCAUGUGGCAGUGACAGACAGAUCUCUGAGUUCAAGCCCAGCCUGGUCUACAGAGUAAGGACAGCCAGGGCUACACAGAGAAAAAACAUUUUUUUUUCAUACCGGGAAAACAAACAAACAAACAAACAAACAAACAAACAAACAAAAAACCUCUUACCAGACAAGAUUGUAUGUUUCAUUGAACUACAUAGUCUUUGGUUUUGAAAUGUAGAAAAAAGUUAUGUUAUGAAACUUGUUUUCCUAUAUCCUUUUUUGCGUAUGUAUCAAGCGUAUGGUGGUGUGCACAUCCGUAUGUGUGUGGGUGCACAUCCGUAUGUGUGUGGGUGCACGUCCGUAUGUGUGUGGGUGCACUUCCGUAUGUGUGUGGGUGCACGUCCGUAUGUGUGUGGGUGCACGUCCGUAUGUGUGUGGGUGCACGUCCGUAUGUGUGUGGGUGCACGUCCGUAUGUGUGUGGGUGCACGUCCGUAUGUGUGUGGGUGCACGCCCGUAUGUGUGGGUGCACGUCCGUAUGUGUGUGGGUGCACGUCCGUAUGUGUGGGUGCACAUGCACUUUGCCCCAGUGCCUUGCAGCCAGCCAGCCACUUGCUCCAGGGGCCCCCAUGUCUCCAAGUCCCAAACUGGCAUCACAGAGAGGCCUUGACACGGGUUCACAUUUCUGUGGGGGAUGCUGACCCAAGGGCUGGUCUCACUCCUGUCAGGCAAACACUUUACCUGCUGAGCCAUCUCCCAGCCCCCUUUUCUUUUUUCAAGACUGGCUUUGCUGUGUUACCCACUGUCAAACCACCCAGAUAUUUUGUGUUUAUCCCCAGAGCUUCGGGCUGCCCUCAGCCUGAGUGAGCUGCUUUCUGCACUGGCUACGGUUAAUACGGAGACUCAGACCUGCCCAAGGGCUGAGGGUGAGUGACGUUGAGUGCUCAGCCAGAGAUGGGACAUUUCUAGACCCUUCCCCCACCAUCAAGGUUCAGGAAACACCUGAGGAGUGGGCAUGGAAAGAAUGUAAGAGCCAGAG